ACAUGGCGUUUCGUGCGUCUCCUUGGCGACGGAGUGGAACCGGAAUGAUGGAGGAGCGAUGGCGAAGCACAGAAUGAAUUAUGGAAGGAUGAGUGCUGAAGCAGCCGACCGGGUGGCUGCUGUGACCAGCGGUCGGCCCAGUACGCCUCUGCAGACGUCCUGGUUUGAGUUCCUCUUGGACGGCAGCCUGCUGGAGAAACACCUGCAGAAAUCAAAUGCAGACCCGACUCCGGUGCAGCUGAUGGUCCAGUUCCUGGAGCAGGCGUCCAAACCGUCGGUGAACGAGCAGAAUCAGGUUCAGCCUCCAGCAGACAACCGCAGGAACCGAACCCUGAAGCUGCUGGCGCUGAAGGUCGCCGCACACAUGAAGUGGGACCUGGAUUCACUGGAGAAAGGACUGACCAUCCCAGUGUUGAACAUGCUGCUGAAUGAGCUGCUGUGUGUCAGCAAAGUGCCUCCAGGUGUGAAACAUGUGGAUCUGGAUCUGUCCACUCUGCCUCCGACCACCGCCAUGGCAGUGAUCAUCUACAACCGCUGGGCCAUCAGAACCAUCGUGCUGAGCAGCUUUCCAGAGAAACAAACCAAACCAGGACCUCAUCAGAUAAACAUGUUAAAUAUCGUGCAGCAGGAGAAAGAAAUGACAGAAAACAUCCUGACUGUGCUGAAGGAGCAGGCGACCGACUCCAUCACCGUCCUGGAAGGAGCUCUGCAGCUGAAGAAGGACUUCUACGUCCACACUCUGAGGACUCUGGACCUGCUGGCCGCUGACGCUGCCGCUAACGGAGAAACCGAAUCCUCCACAGCCGGGCUUCGAAUCAGCGCCGAUGACCUGCGCUGUCAGGUGCAUUAUGAUCUGGGAGGUAUUUUCUUCCAACAAGGCUGCACCGACCAGCCAACCUAUGAGAAGGCCAGAGAUCACUUCAGACAGACCAAGGAGCUCUUGAAGAAGCUGGACUCGACCGUCCACGUCCACCUGGACGAGAAGCGUCUGGCCGGUUACUGGAACGCCUGCAGAGCUCUGACCGGAGACUGUGACCCCUGCGACCCCCAGACGACCCCCUACGACCAGAUCAACAGUCUGAUCCGAGCCCACAACCACCAGGCCGUCAUGGAAGCCUUCAUCAAAGACAACGUGUCCCGCAGUUUACCGAACCACUUCAGACGCUCGGUUCUCAGAGAGUUCUUGUACAAAGUCCAGCAGGGGUGAGGCCACAAAAACAUUCAAACCUGUUCACACACUGCAGUCAGACUGUAGACUUAGAAAAGUCUGUUUAUGUUGUUCAGAAAGCCGUGCACUGCUUGUUUCUUCAGAGCUUUAAACUGGAACAAUCUUCCUCAUGCAAUUUAAAAGUUCCCCCUCCACUGACAUUUGUAGGACAAAUCUCAAGACAUGCAUGUUUUCAAUGGCUUUUGGUAGCUUUUAAUGUUCUUAAAUUGUAGUAUUUUAUAUUUAUUUUAUCCUAGAAUUUGAUCUUACAAGUUGCGAUCUUGUUUUGCCUUGUUUUAGUAUUUUGUAGUUUUGUUUUCUUUCAUAAAAUUUUCAGAUUUUAUAAUUACUCCGCCAAGGAAGAUAGUGGAGUUACGAUGAUUAGUGUACGUUUGUCCGUCCAUCUGUCUGUCUGUCAGCAACAUUACUCAAAAACAGACUCAUGAAUUUGGAUGAAAUUUUCAGGGAAGGUCAGAAAUGACACAAGGACCAAUUUUAUCAGUGAUGCAGCUUAUAGUCUGGAUCCACAGAUUUGUUAAAUAUUUUUGUAUCAUUGCCAGAUAGCGGCACGGCGUCACUGUAACCAUGACAACCAGUGAACACUACGUCAGCUGCCUGCUGAUGAUCACGUGAUUGUGAUUCUACUACAAAUCCACCACUGAGGACUUAUCAGGACGUAUCCAUCAGAAAUGAUACAAAGAACAACUGAUUAAAUUGUGGGGGUGUUUCUGAGUCCCAUUAAUUCCCGCCGCCCGCUACAUAUUUAGAUCACGUGAUUCCGUAUCCGUACAUAACGUACACAUGGAGAACACAUGUGCUCAGAGCAAGGUCAUUUAGUUUGUGGGUACAUCUAAAAUCCAGUCCGGUCUGGAUGAAGUUUGUCAUCAACUUUGUGUCUGUAACGCCGUGAGAGACGCUCUGGAAGGAGAAAUCCUCAGCAUUCGUUUCCAGCAGCUGCUCCUCAAGCCUAGUAAACGGAUCGUGGACUUCAUCUUAGAGGUGGUCUACGAUAAAGGAGAGAUCUACUCGUUCUCCAAGCACGGACGUUUUUGCCACGAGAUAAAGAUGAACUACUCUCCGUACACGAACUACUUCACCCGAGUCUUCUGGAAUCGCUCGUAUCACGUCUACAAAGUGAACUCCGUCAUCUCCUUCCAGUACUGACGGCAGAUCGGACUCCUCUCGUAUUUAAGAUCUCAUCCACAGUUGGACACUCUGGGCUUCUGCAAGCGUCUCGUCACUGUUACGUCGAAGCCGCACGUUCAGCAGGGAUCGGCUGAGGACGCCGCACCGACCUCCACGUGUCGAAGUCGAAACACGCCAUAUUAAUCACUGUACUGUACUUUUAUAAGCCAUGCGUUACUGUCAAUGUUACUGUGAGGCAUUUAAUGAAGGGGGGGUAGAUAAGAGUCGUCUGUGGUCACUUUGUUCAGAAGCUGCUCAGAUUUAAACAAACAGCGGUCGUAUUUUCAGUCAUCUAUAUCUCAACAAUUGUCAUGAAAUUUACUACAAAUAGCACCGAAGGAGUUCCAUUAUCUGCUCACAUUUCCUCCAGAGUGGUUGACAUGUGUAUUAAAAUGUCUUUUUUUGGCCUUUAGUGGACAGUUAGAGGAAAAACAAAUGGAAGCUGUGGGGAAAGAGAUGAUCUGUACUGGCUGAGAAUUAAAACUUCUGAUUAGGAACCCUAAAAGACAUGGGUCAUCGGGUCGCCUUAUGGUGAAACAUUAUGACAAAUAUUGACCAGAUAGCCAUGAAACUUUUGCACACGCAUUUGCAUUGACGAGCCAUAACAUGAAAACCACCGAAAUAACAUUUAUUCUUCAUUUUGACAUGUCGGGGCAAAGAUACAGGAUCUCUGGUGGCAUCAGGAAGCUAGCAGAUCUUUUUGGUCAAGUGGCUUACAGCGUUUGGCUUCGGCCUCGAUGGAUUGGACCCAUCGAUGAUCCACUGGAUUGGGAUUUAGGGAGUGUUGAGGCUGCGUCAGUGCCUUGUGCUCUUGGUCAUGUUCCUCGAGCUGUUCUUAGGUGGUUUUUGAGGUGUAGCGGGGCAUGUUGUCUGAAUGGGGUCUGUUGUUACUCGGCUUGUCACGAGAACCGAUACUUCGGUACCAAGUCAGUACUAAGAUUCAGAAAAUGUACUGACUUUUCUAGACUACCCAAAGUACUGUAGGUACCGAGGAGCCAGAUCUGGCUGCUUCUUCUGUUUUUUUGGCUGUAAAUGAGCGAUUAUCUGGCAACCCUCACACAGUGCUGAUCACAUGACUGACUACGCUGCAAAGAGAUCGGCUGAAUCCCAAACCGCCCCCUACACACUAUCCCUACACACUACCCCUUCGUUUGCGCGUUCUCGCGGAGGGUCCUCCAUAUUAAGGGCCGUCCCAAACCGCGUAGUGCGGAGGGAUAGUGGACUGUUCAGCCCUUAAAUAGCGAGUCUGCAUCGAUGCUCACUCUGGACAACUUUUUCAGGAAGUGCAACGUCGAAAUGGAGGAGGAAACAACAUAUCGAUGUAAGUUCCACAUGCGUCCUUUAUUUCUCCCACGCCUUUUUCACACUGACAGAACAUCACAAAAAGAGUGGUGAAAAAAGAUCAAAAGAAACAAAUCCUCUUCUCUGCUGACGUGUGAUUUAAUUGUCCACCCCCUGACACCUUAAAAUUUGAACACAACUGACAGAAUUCAUUUAUUCAUUCAUUUGUUGGAUUUGAAAUGCCAGAUAAUAGGAUUGGAAAACAUGUGAGUGAAAAAAAGUGGGACGCUUUCGUCUUCUGGAAGCAGCAGCGAUCCUUGUUAGUUGCAACCUUUGCCACAGCGCUACAGCCAUGCACAGUAGGCGUCUUUGUGUUACCAUGGCGAUGACGUCUUCCGUUUUCCGGUGAGGCGACAGGGCGUCCCAUUCCAGACGAUCGUAUUUAUACCCUCCCCCUUCAAUAAUAGGUGCCCUCCACAGCUGCGAGAGUGACUUCUUUUGGAGUGACACUCGGUAGUGGAGGGGGAGUGUGUGGGGGGCGGUUUGGGAUUCAGCCAUCAACUACAUGCAGCAUGGUGGAGGCACACGCACCUGGCUGACAACAGCAGCUGCCCCUCAAUUAGUUGGAAAAAACCCGCCAGAAGUCGCGUCUGGAAUUCUUUUGGAUUCGAGGCUGACGAGGACGGAUUGGUUAUUGACCCGUCUGGAAAAAAUGCGUCACCGCAGCACAGCGAAGGGGAGCAACACGUCCAACUUGGCGAAACAUGUAGCCCUAUAAGGUACAGUCAAUUCCAGCCAUUUUCAGUACAAAAGAUAUCGCUAAUAUUUUAUUUGUAAAUAAAAAUAUGACGAGAAAUACAGGGAAUAUUGGACGCGCAUCGCGAGGUGCAUUAUUGAAAACGACCUAUUCGUGGAUUAUAUACCGACUUCAAGACGUGUUUUGGACAAAAUAUUUUACUGGCUUGUUUCGUCUGGAUAUCCAAGGUUGGAUUAUGGGUGUUUUUGUGGAAUAUUUUCAUCUGUGUGUAAUAAUGAACCCGCAAAUGUGAGUCGCGCUGUGUACGUUAAAGCCGAGUAUAGAGAACGGAUGGAUGAAUAUUCGUUGUUUGUCGGACAAAUGUGUUUAUAUUACCCGCUGUGGUAAUCACAUCUGAAAGUGGUUUAUACCGGCGGAUUCAUGAGAAUCUAAGCUUUCCAUCGGUGUAUAAUGUUUCUAUCAUCAAGUUGGCAGUGUCGUUCUAUUUCGAAAAAUGCUUAGGCAGAUAUCAAAACGGCCCGCCCGCGGGCCGCCGAACCAUAACAGGUUCGGCGGCCCGCGUUGUACCAGAGUUGUACACAGUUGUACACAGAAUUCAAGGUGAAUGCAUUUGAAUUCACGUGUUAUCAUUGUUGCUCAUAUCUAAUUACGUUACAAUGAGAUGAGCCCAGUCCAUAGUAAAUGAGCUGCAUGGCAAAAUAAGAAGCGUGUCCAGCCUUGUUUGUCCCGCAUCAUAGGUUUAGGGCUGAAAAGAUUCCUCGGAUAAUCCGAAUAAUUCGGUUACAAAAUAUCCUCGGGGCAAAUUGUGUGCCUCGAAGCCUCCUUUAAUAUAUAAAUAUAUCUAAAAUAUAUAUCUGGACUACUAUACAGCUCACGGUGUUUGACACAGACGGUAAUUUCUGUGGCACAACGCACCUGCUACCUCUGCUACCGUGGUAUCGAGUGGUAUCGAGUAUCGUAGAAUUUAAGUGGUAUUGGUAUCGACUACUAAAUUUCUGGUAUCAUGACAAGCCUAGUUGUUACCCACAAGGAGUGUUCUUGGUCUGGAGCAAAGUUUAUGUACACUACUGUUCAAAAGUUUGAGGUCAUCCAGACAAUUUCAUGCUUUAUUCAAUGCUUUUAUUCAUGUUUUAUUUAUGUGCUACCAUAAUUCCACAAGGGUUUUCUAAUCAUCAAUGAGCCUUUCAACACCAUCAGCUAACACAAUGUAGCAUUAGAACACAGGAGUGAUGGUUGCUGGAAAUGUUCCUCUGUACCCCGAUGGAGAUAUUCCAUUAAAAAUCAGCUGUUUCCAGCUAGAACAGUCAUUUACCACAUUAACAAUGUCUACACUGGAUUUAUCAUUCAUUUAAUGUUGACUUCAUGGAUAAAAACUGCUUUUCUUUCAAAAAUAAGGACAUUUUGUAAGUGACCCCAAACUUUUGAACAGUGAUCAGUGGUACAUGUCAGAAUAGCUUCCAGAUAAAUACCAGGACUCAAGGUUUCCUAUCAGAACAUUAUGUUAUUAUGAAAAAAAAUAAACGUUGCACACUUUGUCAAUGGGUUUUAAUGAUGUGGCUGAUCGGUGUGAUGAUGACCUGAACCAGUGACAGUCAUAAUAAUUAGUCAUAAAAUGUGACUUCAUUGUUGCCUGUUGCCAUGUUUUGGUUGUAACAUUAAUGAUCAGUGAGGUAAAGUGCCGUCUUUUGUUGUGUUGUGUUAUAUUGUGCUGUGUAGUAUUAAAUUAUAUUGUGUGUA
RNA transcript from Acanthochromis polyacanthus (spiny chromis), 6167 nucleotides. It is a transcript of the gene named integrator complex subunit 8-like, with no coding region annotated. NCBI's taxonomy places the organism in Eukaryota, Metazoa, Chordata, Actinopteri, Pomacentridae. The transcript is spliced from 11 exons. The record is from RefSeq and is a predicted model, not a curated record.